RNAcentral lists this microRNA (22 nucleotides) under Ascaris suum (pig roundworm). Its description in RNAcentral is "asu-miR-5350b-5p". The record is from miRBase by way of RNAcentral. Lineage: Eukaryota; Metazoa; Nematoda; Chromadorea; Rhabditida; Ascarididae.
CGUUUCUAAGGUCUGCCAAAUU